CUCGCCAUUCCUGUAAUGGCUGCUUCCUAGAAGGUAAUGUACGAACUCGUCUCCAAAGGAUACUUAGGUUGCACCAGUGUAUUUGUAAAACAGGAGCAAAUUUGGACCUUGCCGGGCCAAAGUCGUGUCACGUGGAACCUCUUAAUCUCAGCAUCCGGAGCUCCAGGAAGGGAAAAUUUCAAGUCAGAUAGAAUUCUAUAUAUACCAUUUCUUUGGAACCUUCAGCCCUCAAGAUUCCAACAUCAUGACCUCAGUUUCAACACAGUUGUCCUUAGUCCUCAUGUCACUGCUUUUGGUGCUGCCUGUUGUGGAAGCAGUAGAAGCCGGUGAUGCAAUCGCCCUUUUGUUAGGUGUGGUUCUCAGCAUUACAGGCAUUUGUGCCUGCUUGGGGGUAUAUGCACGAAAAAGAAAUGGACAGAUGUGACUUUGAAAGGCCUACUGAGUCAAACCUCACCCUGAAAACCUUUGCGCUUUAGAGGCUAAACCUGAGAUUUGGUGUGUGAAAGGUUCCAAGAAUCAGUAAAUAAGGGAGUUUCACAUUUUUCAUUGUUUCCAUGAAAUGGCAACAAACAUACAUUUAUAAAUUGAAAAAAAAAUGUUUUCUUUACAACAAAUAAUGCACAGAAAAAUGCAGCCUAUAAUUUGCUAGUUAGGUAGUCAAAGAAGUAAGAUGGCUGAAAUUUACAUAAGUAAUAUUUCAUAAUCUUAGAAUUCUCUCAAAGCAUGUGAAAUAGGAAGAAGGAAGUUCUUGCCCAGAAUCUUAGGAAAUCACCACUGUUCGGUUAUAAUCACUGCCUCCUGAAUCGUUGAGGAGUCUUUUAAAUUAGAUUUUUGUUUUGUUGUCUCCCAAGUUAAUAUUAUAUUUAGAUAUCAGAGAGUCAGGCAAAAAGGAAAACUUUUAUCUCUAGGGAAAAAACAUUUAGAAAAAUGUAUUCAGUGUAUCUAAUACUGAAAUGCGGAAA
RNAcentral lists this long non-coding RNA (962 nucleotides) under Homo sapiens (human). RNAcentral describes it as "non-protein coding lnc-SMIM30-1:5". The record is from RNAcentral. Lineage: Eukaryota; Metazoa; Chordata; Mammalia; Primates; Hominidae.